UCCCAGGUGGCUCAGAGGUUAAAGCAUCUGCCCUCAAUGUGGGAGACCUGGGUUCAAUUCCUGGGUUGGGAA
Molecule: transfer RNA, 72 nt
Filed under: Bos taurus (domestic cattle)
Lineage: Eukaryota; Metazoa; Chordata; Mammalia; Artiodactyla; Bovidae
Also listed under: 2 other names
Rfam family: tRNA
About the family: Transfer RNA (tRNA) molecules are approximately 80 nucleotides in length. Their secondary structure includes four short double-helical elements and three loops (D, anti-codon, and T loops).
Source: Rfam by way of RNAcentral